UACGGAGGAUGCAAGCGUUAUCCGGAAUGAUUGGGCGUAAAGCGUCCGCAGGCGGUGCUACAAGUCUGCUGUCAAAGGCUGGGGCUUAACCUCAGAAAGGCGGUGGAAACUGUAGAGCUAGAGAACGGUAGGGGCAUAGGGAAUUCCCAGUGUAGCGGUGAAAUGCGUAGAUAUUGGGAAGAACACCAGUGGCGAAAGCGCGUUGCUAGGCCGGGUCUGACACUCAGGGACGAAAGCUAGGGGAGCGAAUGGG
RNAcentral lists this ribosomal RNA (253 nucleotides) under uncultured bacterium. RNAcentral's name for it is "partial 16S ribosomal RNA". It matches the Rfam family "Bacterial small subunit ribosomal RNA", at positions 524 to 776 of the family's 1533-position model. The record is from RNAcentral.